This 2786-nucleotide ribosomal RNA is filed under the name Escherichia coli. RNAcentral describes it as "bacterial LSU rRNA". It matches the Rfam family "Bacterial large subunit ribosomal RNA". Lineage: Bacteria; Pseudomonadati; Pseudomonadota; Gammaproteobacteria; Enterobacterales; Enterobacteriaceae. The record is from RNAcentral.
AGCGUACACGGUGGAUGCCCUGGCAGUCAGAGGCGAUGAAGGACGUGCUAAUCUGCGAUAAGCGUCGGUAAGGUGAUAUGAACCGUUAUAACCGGCGAUUUCCGAAUGGGGAAACCCAGUGUGAUUCGUCACACUAUCAUUAACUGAAUCCAUAGGUUAAUGAGGCGAACCGGGGGAACUGAAACAUCUAAGUACCCCGAGGAAAAGAAAUCAACCGAGAUUCCCCCAGUAGCGGCGAGCGAACGGGGAGCAGCCCAGAGCCUGAAUCAGUGUGUGUGUUAGUGGAAGCGUCUGGAAAGGCGCGCGAUACAGGGUGACAGCCCCGUACACAAAAAUGCACAUGCUGUGAGCUCGAUGAGUAGGGCGGGACACGUGGUAUCCUGUCUGAAUAUGGGGGGACCAUCCUCCAAGGCUAAAUACUCCUGACUGACCGAUAGUGAACCAGUACCGUGAGGGAAAGGCGAAAAGAACCCCGGCGAGGGGAGUGAAAAAGAACCUGAAACCGUGUACGUACAAGCAGUGGGAGCACGCUUAGGCGUGUGACUGCGUACCUUUUGUAUAAUGGGUCAGCGACUUAUAUUCUGUAGCAAGGUUAACCGAAUAGGGGAGCCGAAGGGAAACCGAGUCUUAACUGGGCGUUAAGUUGCAGGGUAUAGACCCGAAACCCGGUGAUCUAGCCAUGGGCAGGUUGAAGGUUGGGUAACACUAACUGGAGGACCGAACCGACUAAUGUUGAAAAAUUAGCGGAUGACUUGUGGCUGGGGGUGAAAGGCCAAUCAAACCGGGAGAUAGCUGGUUCUCCCCGAAAGCUAUUUAGGUAGCGCCUCGUGAAUUCAUCUCCGGGGGUAGAGCACUGUUUCGGCAAGGGGGUCAUCCCGACUUACCAACCCGAUGCAAACUGCGAAUACCGGAGAAUGUUAUCACGGGAGACACACGGCGGGUGCUAACGUCCGUCGUGAAGAGGGAAACAACCCAGACCGCCAGCUAAGGUCCCAAAGUCAUGGUUAAGUGGGAAACGAUGUGGGAAGGCCCAGACAGCCAGGAUGUUGGCUUAGAAGCAGCCAUCAUUUAAAGAAAGCGUAAUAGCUCACUGGUCGAGUCGGCCUGCGCGGAAGAUGUAACGGGGCUAAACCAUGCACCGAAGCUGCGGCAGCGACACUAUGUGUUGUUGGGUAGGGGAGCGUUCUGUAAGCCUGUGAAGGUGUACUGUGAGGUAUGCUGGAGGUAUCAGAAGUGCGAAUGCUGACAUAAGUAACGAUAAAGCGGGUGAAAAGCCCGCUCGCCGGAAGACCAAGGGUUCCUGUCCAACGUUAAUCGGGGCAGGGUGAGUCGACCCCUAAGGCGAGGCCGAAAGGCGUAGUCGAUGGGAAACAGGUUAAUAUUCCUGUACUUGGUGUUACUGCGAAGGGGGGACGGAGAAGGCUAUGUUGGCCGGGCGACGGUUGUCCCGGUUUAAGCGUGUAGGCUGGUUUUCCAGGCAAAUCCGGAAAAUCAAGGCUGAGGCGUGAUGACGAGGCACUACGGUGCUGAAGCAACAAAUGCCCUGCUUCCAGGAAAAGCCUCUAAGCAUCAGGUAACAUCAAAUCGUACCCCAAACCGACACAGGUGGUCAGGUAGAGAAUACCAAGGCGCUUGAGAGAACUCGGGUGAAGGAACUAGGCAAAAUGGUGCCGUAACUUCGGGAGAAGGCACGCUGAUAUGUAGGUGAAGCGACUUGCUCGUGGAGCUGAAAUCAGUCGAAGAUACCAGCUGGCUGCAACUGUUUAUUAAAAACACAGCACUGUGCAAACACGAAAGUGGACGUAUACGGUGUGACGCCUGCCCGGUGCCGGAAGGUUAAUUGAUGGGGUUAGCGCAAGCGAAGCUCUUGAUCGAAGCCCCGGUAAACGGCGGCCGUAACUAUAACGGUCCUAAGGUAGCGAAAUUCCUUGUCGGGUAAGUUCCGACCUGCACGAAUGGCGUAAUGAUGGCCAGGCUGUCUCCACCCGAGACUCAGUGAAAUUGAACUCGCUGUGAAGAUGCAGUGUACCCGCGGCAAGACGGAAAGACCCCGUGAACCUUUACUAUAGCUUGACACUGAACAUUGAGCCUUGAUGUGUAGGAUAGGUGGGAGGCUUUGAAGUGUGGACGCCAGUCUGCAUGGAGCCGACCUUGAAAUACCACCCUUUAAUGUUUGAUGUUCUAACGUUGACCCGUAAUCCGGGUUGCGGACAGUGUCUGGUGGGUAGUUUGACUGGGGCGGUCUCCUCCUAAAGAGUAACGGAGGAGCACGAAGGUUGGCUAAUCCUGGUCGGACAUCAGGAGGUUAGUGCAAUGGCAUAAGCCAGCUUGACUGCGAGCGUGACGGCGCGAGCAGGUGCGAAAGCAGGUCAUAGUGAUCCGGUGGUUCUGAAUGGAAGGGCCAUCGCUCAACGGAUAAAAGGUACUCCGGGGAUAACAGGCUGAUACCGCCCAAGAGUUCAUAUCGACGGCGGUGUUUGGCACCUCGAUGUCGGCUCAUCACAUCCUGGGGCUGAAGUAGGUCCCAAGGGUAUGGCUGUUCGCCAUUUAAAGUGGUACGCGAGCUGGGUUUAGAACGUCGUGAGACAGUUCGGUCCCUAUCUGCCGUGGGCGCUGGAGAACUGAGGGGGGCUGCUCCUAGUACGAGAGGACCGGAGUGGACGCAUCACUGGUGUUCGGGUUGUCAUGCCAAUGGCACUGCCCGGUAGCUAAAUGCGGAAGAGAUAAGUGCUGAAAGCAUCUAAGCACGAAACUUGCCCCGAGAUGAGUUCUCCCUGACUCCUUGA